Molecule: ribosomal RNA, 492 nt
Filed under: uncultured bacterium
Lineage: Bacteria
Description: partial 16S ribosomal RNA
Rfam family: Bacterial small subunit ribosomal RNA
Source: RNAcentral
AGUGAACGCUGGCGGUAGGCCUAACACAUGCAAGUCGAACGGCAGCACAGUAAGAGCUUGCUCUUACGGGUGGCGAGUGGCGGACGGGUGAGGAAUACAUCGGAAUCUACUUUUUCGUGGGGGAUAACGUAGGGAAACUUACGCUAAUACCGCAUACGACCUACGGGUGAAAGCAGGGGAUCUUCGGACCUUGCGCGAUUGAAUGAGCCGAUGUCGGAUUAGCUAGUUGGCGGGGUAAAGGCCCACCAAGGCGACGAUCCGUAGCUGGUCUGAGAGGAUGAUCAGCCAGCUUGGAACUGAGACACGGUCCAGACUCCUACGGGAGGCAGCAGUGGGGAAUAUUGGACAAUGGGCGCAAGCCUGAUCCAGCCAUACCGCGUGGGUGAAGAAGGCCUUCGGGUUGUAAAGCCCUUUUGUUGGGAGAGAAAAGCAGCAGGUUAAUACCCCGCUGUUCUGACGGUACCCAAAGAAUAAGCACCGGCUAACUUCGUG